AUCACCUAGGAAUCUUGGUAAAAUGCAGUUUCUGAUUCUGAAGGUCCCCAGUGGGGCCUGAAAUUCUGCAUUUGUAACAAGGUCCCAGGGAUGCUAA
This 97-nucleotide microRNA precursor is filed under the name Heterocephalus glaber (naked mole-rat). Its description in RNAcentral is "mir-544 microRNA precursor family". It matches the Rfam family "mir-544 microRNA precursor family". The record is from Rfam by way of RNAcentral. Lineage: Eukaryota; Metazoa; Chordata; Mammalia; Rodentia; Bathyergidae.